GUUCUCCCUUCAGCAGCACAUACACUGAACUUAGAGCAGCAUAGGGAAGAUUAGCAUGGCCCCUGAGCAAGGGGGCACAAAAACCUGUGAUGCAUUCCAUGCUUUU
Small nuclear RNA from Onychomys torridus (southern grasshopper mouse), 106 nucleotides. The record is from RefSeq and is a predicted model, not a curated record. Lineage: Eukaryota; Metazoa; Chordata; Mammalia; Rodentia; Cricetidae.